CUCGCCUUGCCGUGCAUUUCUCCCCGCCAUGGACUGCUGUGAGCUGCUCACCCCUGCGGAGGAGCCUGCAUGGAACUGCGACGCGAGCUUUCCCGCUCAUCCCCAUAGUGGUGGAGCAGACGGUACGGUGACCUGAUGGGGACAUGGCGCGGAGGCUUGUAGUCGGUCGGCGUGCAAGGGAGGAUGACCUUUCACAUCUUCUUUUCCCACGAAGGGUCGAGGCGAGCGCGCUUAUGACAUAUACUCGAGGCUGUUGCGGGAACGCAUCGUGUGCGUCAUGGGCCCGGUGAGCGACCCCGGUCCUUCCCGGGCACACCUUGUUGUCUCACCAACAUUUAUCCUUUGUCAAGCUCUGUGUCAUAUAACCCCCUCUUCCCCCUCAUCCUUGGUGACCUCCUAGACCCUAGGCCCUAGACCCUGACCUUAAACAUUCU
RNAcentral lists this long non-coding RNA (434 nucleotides) under Mus musculus (house mouse). RNAcentral describes it as "long non-coding RNA chr17:56990391-56990825". The record is from RNAcentral. Lineage: Eukaryota; Metazoa; Chordata; Mammalia; Rodentia; Muridae.